AGGGCAGUAGCUGGGUCAAAUUGUGGUUCCAUUCCCAGCUUUUCCAGGAAUCUCCAUACUGCUUUCCAAAUUGGCCACACCAAUUUGCUUUCCCACCAGCAAU
RNAcentral lists this microRNA precursor (103 nucleotides) under Marmota monax (woodchuck). The record is from RNAcentral. Lineage: Eukaryota; Metazoa; Chordata; Mammalia; Rodentia; Sciuridae.